Molecule: ribosomal RNA, 256 nt
Filed under: uncultured bacterium
Lineage: Bacteria
Description: partial 16S ribosomal RNA
Rfam family: Bacterial small subunit ribosomal RNA
Source: RNAcentral
UACGUAGGGGCCUAGCGUUGUCCGGAUUUAUUGGGCGUAAAGAGCUCGUAGGCGGUUCGGCAAGUCGGAUGUGAAAUCUCCACGCUCAACGUGGAGGGGCCAUUCGAAACUGCCGUGACUCGAGUCCGGUAGGGGAGUGUGGAAUUCCCGGUGUAGCGGUGAAAUGCGUAGAGAUCGGGAGGAACACCAGUGGCGAAGGCGGCUACCUGGACCAGCACUGACACUGAGGCACGAAAGCGUGGGGAGCAAACAGGGA